UGCAAGUCGAGGGGCAGCGAGGGAGUGGCAACACUUCUGUCGGCGACCGGCGCACGGGUGAGUAACACGUAUCCAACCUGCCGACAACACUGGGAUAGCCUUUCGAAAGAAAGAUUAAUACCCGAUGGCAUAGUUCUUCCGCAUGGUGGAACUAUUAAAGAAUUUCGGUCAUCGAUGGGGAUGCGUUCCAUUAGAUAGUAGGCGGGGUAACGGCCCACCAAACCAACGAUGGAUAGGGGUUCUGAGAGGAAGGUCCCCACAUUGGAACUGAGACACGGUCCAAACUCC
RNAcentral lists this ribosomal RNA (288 nucleotides) under uncultured Bacteroides sp. Its description in RNAcentral is "partial 16S ribosomal RNA". It matches the Rfam family "Bacterial small subunit ribosomal RNA", at positions 56 to 339 of the family's 1533-position model. The record is from RNAcentral. Lineage: Bacteria; Pseudomonadati; Bacteroidota; Bacteroidia; Bacteroidales; Bacteroidaceae.